ACGGGAGGCAGCAGUGGGGAAUAUUGGGCAAUGGGCGAAAGCCUGACCCAGCAACGCCGCGUGAAGGAAGAAGGUCUUCGGAUUGUAAACUUCUUUUAUGAGGGACGAAGGACGUGACGGUACCUCAUGAAUAAGCCACGGCUAACUCCGUGCCAGCAGCCGCGGUAAUACGGAGGAUGCAAGCGUUAUCCGGAUUUAUUGGGUUUAAAGGGUGCGUAGGCGGAUGAUUAAGUCAGUGGUGAAAGGUCCCGGCUCAACCGGGGAGCUGCCAUUGAUACUGGUUGUCUUGAAUGCGGAUGCCGUGGGAGGAAUGUGUGGUGUAGCGGUGAAAUGCAUAGAUAUCACACAGAACACCGAUUGCGAAGGCAUCUCACGAAUCCGUUAUUGACGCUGAGGCACGAAAGCGUGGGGAUCAAACAGGAUUAGAUACCCUGGUA
This is a ribosomal RNA of 437 nucleotides. It matches the Rfam family "Bacterial small subunit ribosomal RNA", at positions 341 to 792 of the family's 1533-position model.